UAGGGAAUAUUGGGCAAUGGGCGCAAGCCUGACCCAGCAACGCCGCGUGAGGGAAGAAGGUUUUCGGAUUGUAAACCUCUGUCCUAUGUGACGAAGGAAGUGACGGUAGCAUAGGAGGAAGCCCCGGCUAACUACGUGCCAGCAGCCGCGGUAAUACGUAGGGGGCGAGCGUUGUCCGGAAUUACUGGGCGUAAAGGGCAUGCAGGCGGUUCAUCAAGUAGGAUGUGAAAUCCCCGGGCUCAACCUGGGAACAGCAUACUAAACUGGUGGACUAGAGUAUUGCAGGGGGAGACGGAAUUCCAGGUGUAGCGGUGGAAUGCGUAGAUAUCUGGAAGAACACCAAAGGCGAAGGCAGUCUCCUGGGCAAAUACUGACGCUCAUAUGCGAAAGCGUGGGUAGCAAACAGGAUUAGAUACCCUGGUAGU
RNAcentral lists this ribosomal RNA (425 nucleotides) under uncultured Succinivibrio sp. Its description in RNAcentral is "bacterial SSU rRNA". It matches the Rfam family "Bacterial small subunit ribosomal RNA", at positions 355 to 794 of the family's 1533-position model. The record is from RNAcentral. Lineage: Bacteria; Pseudomonadati; Pseudomonadota; Gammaproteobacteria; Aeromonadales; Succinivibrionaceae.